CUUGAUAGUCCCUUACACCCACUAUCCGCCCGGGUACUACGAGCAUUAGCUUAAAACCCAAAGGACUUGGCGGUGCUUUAGAUCCACCUAGAGGAGCCUGUUCUAGAACCGAUAACCCCCGUUAAACCUCACCCUCUCUUGUUCUUUCCGUCUAUAUACCGCCGUCGUCAGCUUACCCUAUGAAGGAACCACAGUAAGCGAGACUAGCACAACUCAAAACGCCAGGUCGAGGUGUAGCAUAUGAGAGGGGAAGAAAUGGGCUACAUUCCCUACCGUAGGGAAUACGAACAAUGCAAUGAAAUAUGCAUUAAAAGGAGGAUUUAGCAGUAAGCAGAAAAUAGAGCG
RNAcentral lists this ribosomal RNA (345 nucleotides) under Benthochromis sp. J78. Its description in RNAcentral is "partial 12S ribosomal RNA". It matches the Rfam family "Bacterial small subunit ribosomal RNA", at positions 801 to 1356 of the family's 1533-position model. The record is from RNAcentral. Lineage: Eukaryota; Metazoa; Chordata; Actinopteri; Cichliformes; Cichlidae.